This 2020-nucleotide small RNA is filed under the name Penicillium parvifructum. RNAcentral describes it as "eukaryotic LSU rRNA". The stretch from base 1220 to 2020 matches the Rfam family "Eukaryotic large subunit ribosomal RNA", at positions 1 to 837 of the family's 3401-position model. The record is from RNAcentral. Lineage: Eukaryota; Fungi; Ascomycota; Eurotiomycetes; Eurotiales; Aspergillaceae.
CGGAACCAAUUAAUUGCCCAACGGUUUCGGGAAGCGGGAAAGCUGGGUUCCCUCUGGGUUCUAAGCCAAGGUCCGCCAUUUGCAAUCCCUUUGGGUUAUUAAAGACGGCCCCCUUAGGGGGCCGUUACCCUUCCGGAAGGGCCCUUUUGACCCGACCCGCCCAAAAACCGAACGGUUGGCCCCGCCCCGGGGGGGGAAAGUACAAUCUGGCCAACGAAUUGCCUGGACUGAACCCCCCGCGAAGCGAGUUCUGGUUCGCAAAGCGCUUUCCCUUUUCAAACAAUUUCCACGGUGCUUUUUUAACUCUUCUUUUCAAAAGUGCUUAUCCAUCUUUACGAUCGCGUCUGACUUGUGAAACUCAUCGGUGUACUGGCCCCAAGAUUUAGGCUGUGAGAUGAAGAUUUAGCCCCCCAAUUUAGAAGAUGCAGUCCCCAUACAAGGUCGACUAUGUCGAAAGGAGCAUUCACACGGGUCGCGGACAGCUCCCUCCCAUAAGGGGAUUCUCACCGCGUAUAUGAUGUCCCGUUGACAGGGCACUUAGAUGGGGGGGCGCUCCGCGAAGCAUUCUAUACAAAUUACAAUGGGGACCCCGAAGGAGCCAGCUUUCAAAUUUGAGCGCUAGACGUCUCCCUCGCCGUUACUGGGGCAAUCCCCGGUGGGUUCCUUUGGAAGUAAAAAUCGUAACAAGGUUUCCGUAGGUGAACCUGCGGAAGGAUCAUUACCGAGUGAGGGCCCUCUGGGUCCAACCUCCCACCCGUGUUUAUUUUACCUUGUUGCUUCGGCGGGCCCGCCUUAACUGGCCGCCGGGGGGCUUACGCCCCCGGGCCCGCGCCCGCCGAAGACACCCUCGAACUCUGUCUGAAGAUUGUAGUCUGAGUGAAAAUAUAAAUUAUUUAAAACUUUCAACAACGGAUCUCUUGGUUCCGGCAUCGAUGAAGAACGCAGCGAAAUGCGAUACGUAAUGUGAAUUGCAAAUUCAGUGAAUCAUCGAGUCUUUGAACGCACAUUGCGCCCCCUGGUAUUCCGGGGGGCAUGCCUGUCCGAGCGUCAUUGCUGCCCUCAAGCACGGCUUGUGUGUUGGGCCCCGUCCUCCGAUCCCGGGGGACGGGCCCGAAAGGCAGCGGCGGCACCGCGUCCGGUCCUCGAGCGUAUGGGGCUUUGUCACCCGCUCUGUAGGCCCGGCCGGCGCUUGCCGAUCAACCCGAAUUUUUAUCCAGGUUGACCUCGGAUCAGGUAGGGAUACCCGCUGAACUUAAGCAUAUCAAUAAGCGGAGGAAAAGAAACCAACAGGGAUUGCCCCAGUAACGGCGAGUGAAGCGGCAAGAGCUCAAAUUUGAAAGCUGGCUCCUUCGGGGUCCGCAUUGUAAUUUGUAGAGGAUGCUUCGGGAGCGGUCCCCAUCUAAGUGCCCUGGAACGGGACGUCAUAGAGGGUGAGAAUCCCGUAUGGGAUGGGGUGUCCGCGCCCGUGUGAAGCUCCUUCGACGAGUCGAGUUGUUUGGGAAUGCAGCUCUAAAUGGGUGGUAAAUUUCAUCUAAAGCUAAAUAUUGGCCGGAGACCGAUAGCGCACAAGUAGAGUGAUCGAAAGAUGAAAAGCACUUUGAAAAGAGAGUUAAAAAGCACGUGAAAUUGUUGAAAGGGAAGCGCUUGCGACCAGACUCGCUCGCGGGGUUCAGCCGGCAUUCGUGCCGGUGUACUUCCCCGCGGGCGGGCCAGCGUCGGUUUGGGCGGUCGGUCAAAGGCCCUCCGAAGGUAACGCCCCUAGGGGCGUCUUAUAGCCGAGGGUGCAAUGCGACCUGCCUAGACCGAGGAACGCGCUUCCGCUCGGACCCUGGCAUAAUGGUCGUAAACGACCCGUCUUGAACACGGACAAUGGAGUUAACAUCAACCCAGGGUUCGGUGGCAAUCCCUGGCCCAAUGAAACGGAAGGAGGUGGGAACCUUCCCGGUGCCCAUCCCCCAUCCAGAACCUUCCGAGGAUUUAUAAAGACGUACCUUUGGACCCAAAAAGUGGAAAUUCCCCA